UGGGGAAUAUUGGGCAAUGGGCGCAAGCCUGACCCAGCGACGCCGCGUGAGGGAAGAAGGUCUUCGGAUUGUAAACCUUUGUUGACAGGGACGAUAAUGACGGUACCUGUCGAGGAAGCCACGGCUAACUACGUGCCAGCAGCCGCGGUAAUUCGUAGGUGGCGAGCGUUAUCCGGAUUUACUGGGUGUAAAGGGUGUGUAGGCGGGAAGAUAAGUCAGAUGUGAAAUGCAUGGGCUCAACUCAUGCACUGCGUCUAAACUGUUUUUCUUGAGUGUCGGAGAGGUAAGUGGAAUUCCCGGUGUAGCGGUGAAAUGCGUAGAUAUCAGGAGGAACACCGGUGGCGAAGGCGGCUUACUGGACGACAACUGACGCUGAGACACGAAAGUGUGGGGAGCAAACAGG
Molecule: ribosomal RNA, 403 nt
Filed under: uncultured prokaryote
Also listed under: 1 other name
Description: bacterial SSU rRNA
Rfam family: Bacterial small subunit ribosomal RNA
Source: RNAcentral